AAAUUACGAAAGAAACAUGAAAAAAUCCUAAAAAAAUAUUAAAAAAAUCUUAAAUAAAUCUUAAAUAAAUCUUAAUCAAAUCUUAUUUUAAUCCUAAUUGAAAUCCUAAUAGAUCUUAACUAAAUCUUAGGUUAAAUCCUAACUAAAUCUUAAAUUCUAAAUCAAAUACUAAACAAAUUCUAAACCUUAAAUCUUAAAUCAAACCUUACAAAAAUUCUAAGUCCUAAAUAAAUCUUAAAACCUAAACUAAAUCCUAGAAAAAUCCUAAAUCGUGAACCAAAAUCUAACUAAA
Molecule: long non-coding RNA, 292 nt
Filed under: Physcomitrium patens
Lineage: Eukaryota; Viridiplantae; Streptophyta; Bryopsida; Funariales; Funariaceae
Description: long non-coding RNA (PPAT_LNC011883)
Source: RNAcentral